This 465-nucleotide ribosomal RNA is filed under the name Vreelandella stevensii. RNAcentral's name for it is "partial 16S ribosomal RNA". It matches the Rfam family "Bacterial small subunit ribosomal RNA", at positions 338 to 795 of the family's 1533-position model. Lineage: Bacteria; Pseudomonadati; Pseudomonadota; Gammaproteobacteria; Oceanospirillales; Halomonadaceae. The record is from RNAcentral.
CCUACGGGUGGCAGCAGUGGGGAAUAUUGGACAAUGGGCGAAAGCCUGAUCCAGCCAUGCCGCGUGUGUGAAGAAGGCCUUCGGGUUGUAAAGCACUUUCAGUGGGGAAGAAAGCCUUGGGGCUAAUACCCUCUAGGAAGGACAUCACCCACAGAAGAAGCACCGGCUAACUCCGUGCCAGCAGCCGCGGUAAUACGGAGGGUGCGAGCGUUAAUCGGAAUUACUGGGCGUAAAGCGCGCGUAGGCGGUCUGAUAAGCCGGUUGUGAAAGCCCCGGGCUCAACCUGGGAACGGCAUCCGGAACUGUCAGGCUAGAGUGCAGGAGAGGAAGGUAGAAUUCCCGGUGUAGCAGUGAAAUGCGUAGAGAUCGGGAGGAACACCAGUGGCGAAGGCGGCCUUCUGGACUGACACUGACGCUGAGGUGCGAAAGCGUGGGUAGCAAACAGGAUUAGAUACCCGAGUAGUC